RNAcentral lists this ribosomal RNA (221 nucleotides) under uncultured bacterium. RNAcentral describes it as "partial 16S ribosomal RNA". It matches the Rfam family "Bacterial small subunit ribosomal RNA", at positions 524 to 745 of the family's 1533-position model. The record is from RNAcentral.
UACGUAGGCAGCAAGCGUUGUCCGGAAUUAUUGGGCGUAAAGAGCUCGUAGGCGGCCUGUUGCGUCCGCUGUGAAAGCCCGGGGCUUAACCCCGGGUCGGCAGUGGAUACGGGCAGGCUAGAGGUAGGUAGGGGAGAAUGGAAUUCCCGGUGUAGCGGUGAAAUGCGCAGAUAUCGGGAGGAACACCGGUGGCGAAGGCGGUUCUCUGGGCCUACCUGACG